AUUGAACGCUGGCGGCAUGCCUUACACAUGCAAGUCGAACGGCAGCGGGGGAGAAGCUUGCUUUUCCUGCCGGCGAGUGGCGAACGGGUGAGUAAUACAUCGGAACGUGCCCUGUAGUGGGGGAUAACUAGUCGAAAGAUUAGCUAAUACCGCAUACGACCUGAGGGUGAAAGUGGGGGACCGCAAGGCCUCAUGCUAUAGGAGCGGCCGAUGUCUGAUUAGCUAGUUGGUGGGGUAAAGGCCUACCAAGGCGACGAUCAGUAGCUGGUCUGAGAGGACGAUAAGCCACCCUGGGACUGAGACACGGCCCAGACUCCUACGGGAGGCAGCAGUGGGGAAUUUUGGACAAUGGGCGAAAGCCUGAUCCAGCAAUGCCGCGUGUGUGAAGAAGGCCUUCGGGUUGUAAAGCACUUUUGUCCGGAAAGAAAUGGCUCUGGUUAAUACCUGGGGUCGAUGACGGUACCGGAAGAAUAAGGACCGGCUAACUACGUGCCAGCAGCCGCCGUAA
This 508-nucleotide ribosomal RNA is filed under the name uncultured bacterium. RNAcentral's name for it is "partial 16S ribosomal RNA". It matches the Rfam family "Bacterial small subunit ribosomal RNA", at positions 30 to 523 of the family's 1533-position model. The record is from RNAcentral.